RNAcentral lists this ribosomal RNA (664 nucleotides) under uncultured bacterium. Its description in RNAcentral is "bacterial SSU rRNA". It matches the Rfam family "Bacterial small subunit ribosomal RNA", at positions 123 to 813 of the family's 1533-position model. The record is from RNAcentral.
AACCUGCCCCGAAGAGGGGGAUAACCAUCCGAAAGGGUGGCUAAUACCCCAUAUACUCCGAUCUAUUCGGAGGAAAGCUUUCGCGCUUCGGGAGGGGCCUGCGUAACAUUAGCUUGUUGGUGAGGUAAGAGCUCACCAAGGCUACGAUGUUUAGCUGGUUUGAGAGGAUGAUCAGCCACACUGGGACUGAGAUACGGCCCAGACUCCUACGGGAGGCAGCAGUGAGGAAUAUUCCACAAUGGGGGCAACCCUGAUGGAGCGAUGCCGCGUGCAGGAAGACGCUUUUCGGAGUGUAAACUGCUUUUAACAGGGAAGAUUAUGACGGUACCUGUAGAAUAAGGACCGGCUAACUACGUGCCAGCAGCCGCGGUAAUACGUAGGGUCCAAGCGUUAUUCGGAACUACUGGGCGUAAAGCGUUCGUAGGCGGUUUGAUAAGUUGGAUGUGAAAUCCUGUGGCUCAACCACAUGGACUGUGUCCAAAACUAUCUAACUAGAGCAUAGUAGAGGCGAGUGGAAUUCCUGGUGUAGCGGUGAAAUGCGUAGAUAUCAGGAGGAACACCGGUGGUGUAGACGGCUAUCUGGACAAUUACUGACGCUGAGACACGAAAGCGUGGGGAGCAAACAGGAUUAGAUACCCUGGUAGUCCACGCCCUAAACGAUGCA